This 484-nucleotide ribosomal RNA is filed under the name uncultured bacterium. Its description in RNAcentral is "partial 16S ribosomal RNA". It matches the Rfam family "Bacterial small subunit ribosomal RNA", at positions 30 to 507 of the family's 1533-position model. The record is from RNAcentral.
AUUGAACGCUGGCGGCAGGCCUAACACAUGCAAGUCGAGCGGAUGAAGGGAGCUUGCUCCUGGAUUCAGCGGCGGACGGGUGAGUAAUGCCUAGGAAUCUGCCUGGUAGUGGGGGAUAACGUCCGGUAACGGGCGCUAAUACCGCAUACGUCCUGAGGGAGAAAGUGGGGGAUCUUCGGACCUCACGCUAUCAGAUGAGCCUAGGUCGGAUUAGCUAGUUGGUGGGGUAAAGGCCUACCAAGGCGACGAUCCGUAACUGGUCUGAGAGGAUGAUCAGUCACCCUGGAACUGAGACACGGUCCAGACUCCUACGGGAGGCCGCAGUGGGGAAUAUUGGACGAUGGGGCAAAGCCUGAUCCAGCCAAGCCGCGGGUGUGAAGAAGGUCUUCUGAUUGUAAAGCGCUUUAAGUUGGGGGGAAGGGCAGUAAGUUUAUACCUUGCGAUUUUGACGUUACCAACAGAAUAAGCACCGGCUAACUUCGUG